GAGCAGUUGUUUUAUUUCACUGAUGAAUUUGCUGUGAUGAUAUCUUAGUGAGCUUUAUGAGGGUAUUGUUUGCUGUUGUGUCCCACAUAAAACCCCAGAACAGAUUCUAGCAUAUAGUGGAUGUUCAGAAAUCCUGAAAAAGUGUAUCCUAGAGGAGAAAUCGAGGUCAUAUGUUGACAUUUUCCAAUAUGAGUUUCUACCAACUUUUUCUGUCUGCCUUCUCUACUUCUGAGGGGCAGGGAAUCAGCAGUACCUAUUGGGAGUGCAGUGUCAGUAAGGAGAUAAAGUUUGUCAAGCCCCACAUCCUGGUGGGCCUCUAGGCCUAUUGGGGGCAGUGGGAGUGGUAAUUUAGUAAUUCAGUAAUUUAGUCCAUGUGAGAAGCCUGUGUGUCUUCAGGUGGGAGUGUCCCAUCUCCUGCCCAGAGAGAGUGGUUAGGACUGAAAAUGAGCCCAAGUUUGAAUAUCUUCACAAAAUAGGGGGUGUUACUGCCUCCUAACAGACUUGCUCAGGAGGUGAACCCUGGAAUGCCAACAGGGAAAGGGAACUGAGAGAAUUGAGCAAGAUCAGUGAGUGAAGUGGGAGGACAUCCCGGGUAGAUGGAGAUGGGAAUACCCCGUGGCUGUUGCUGAGUGCAUCUGGGACAACCGAACCGCUAGGAUUGGUAGGCACUAGCACAUAAUGAUCAUAUGUAUGUGUAUAGCCCCUGGCCAAUCAAUCUUGGGUCUGCUGCUUCCCUGCAAUAGAUAGGUCUUAUGCAUUCACCUUUAUGGCAUUGUGUCAGGAAGUAGGCUCUGUGACUAUUGCUCUCCUCUUAUAAUGGUGGGCCUGAGCCCUGUAGGGAAAUGCCUUCAGAGUUCAAGGACUCAUGCAACCCUGGCUCAUGAUUCUGUGUCCGUAUGGCUGACUGUCUCUCCUCUUGGGUCUAGAAUCAGGGAACAUAGCAUUAGUCUUUGAUGCCUGGCAACCUCAGGCCCUUUUCAGGUCUCUGGCUGCAGGGGUAGAGUAAGAGACUUCUGCCUGGUGAGAGGAUGGAUCCCUGUAGCUGACAUCUUUGCACACUCACCUCUGUCCUUGCCGGUUUUCAGAUUCCAGCUAUUUCCAGCCUCAAAACUUGCCCCUAGGAGGCAGAAAUGGAGCCCACAGGUUCAGGACCAUCCCCUUGGACCCCUGUAUCACAGACAUGUGUGAGUGAUACUCCUCCUGUGACCCACCCUGGUUCUUUAGUCUUUGGGCCCCUCUACUUUGGCAUUAAUGAACUGGAAGCCGUACACCCUCACCAUUAGCAACCAGGUACUGGGAACAUGUUUCCUACUGGUGUCCUCAUUCUGGGGAGAUGAUGUCCAUGUCACCCUAUUCUCACCCCUAGGAGCAUCAGGCCUCAGGGACUCAAGGGGCUGAGGCUGACCAUCAGAAAGUAAGUUGACCUGGCCUGGCCCCUGGUGUCCUGAACAGGCUUCUGACUUCUUUCUUGAGACAGAGGGCUAUAACAUGAUGGUUAUCAGAGUCCUUUGCUGUCUGCUGUAGCCCUGACCCCUUCCAAGCCCAGUGACCAGACUGGUGGCAGUCCCUGCCUCGGGAUUCUUUCCUAUACCUUCCUGGUGGUAUUCACACUGCCCAGCUGCUCCUGUUGCCCUGAGAACCCUUUUAGAGAGAACUUUGGGGGGAAAACUUUUUUGGGGGGCGGGGGCGGGGACAGCUCCCUCAUGUGGACCUUUUGCUUCUUUUGUUUGGGUCAGUUAGUGGCUAUGUUACUCUGGCAAGACCCUGUGUGGAUGGGGAUGAUUAGGCUAAGGGUAUACGUGUGUAGGAGAGUCCUGCACGUGUGGAAGAGAGCAGAUUCUAAAAAGAAGUGAAGAGCAGGUAGAGAAGGGUCCCCAGAAGUGGCCCCAAGGAGCAGGCCUGCUCAUCAGCCUGAGCAGAGGCAGAAUGUUAAGCAGACUGCCAAGGAUCCCUGCUGGGAGUGGUGAGAAGAGAGUGGUGAGAGAAUCCCAGAGCCUUGCUCUGCACCUUGGUGGGGGAGAGAUAGGCUAAUGGGGGUUCAUGUUUUAAAAGCCACUGUGGAGCCAUCAGAAUAGGCAGCCCCAAACACUUGCUCCUCUACAUAAAUGUUCA
RNAcentral lists this long non-coding RNA (2112 nucleotides) under Marmota monax (woodchuck). The record is from RNAcentral. Lineage: Eukaryota; Metazoa; Chordata; Mammalia; Rodentia; Sciuridae.